Molecule: non-coding RNA, 269 nt
Organism: Biomphalaria pfeifferi
Lineage: Eukaryota; Metazoa; Mollusca; Gastropoda; Planorbidae
Source: the annotation of a GenBank genome assembly
GACUAGUAAGUAGUCCUAUCUAAAAUUAAUCUAUCUAUAAUUAUAUUAAUUAAAUAGUCUGCUCUAUAAUAUAUUUUGGAAAAGUAGAAGAGUUAUCUUCAGGGCAUUUUGGUGCAUCCCAUGAUAAGUAUCAUUUAAAAUUGUUUGACAGCUAGAUUUAGAUAAGCAUAUCUGAAUCGCUAUCAAUAACGUAUCCAGCCAUGUCUAUUUUUAUUUACAUUUUCUCAGUCCAUUACAAGACGUCACUUCCGCUUUCGGCCAUUGAAGCU